RNAcentral lists this long non-coding RNA (24669 nucleotides) under Homo sapiens (human). RNAcentral's name for it is "non-protein coding KCNQ1OT1:4". Lineage: Eukaryota; Metazoa; Chordata; Mammalia; Primates; Hominidae. The record is from RNAcentral.
AGAACGGUCGCCGCGUCGCCUCAGCACGGACCUCCAGGGAGCUCCUCAGCAAGAUCCUGCCAGGGCGCCCCUCAGCGCGAUUCUGCCGGGGUGCCUCUCAGCGUGGUCCUCCCCGGGGCUCCUCAGCACGAUUCUCCCGGUGCGCCCCUCAGCGCGGUCCUCCUCGGUGCGUCAGUCAUCGUGGUUCUCCCCGGCGCGCCCCUCGGCGCGGUUCUCCUCGGGGCUCCUCAGCGCGGCGCUCUUCUGGGGGCUCCUCGGCGCAGUUCUCCCCGGGGACUCCUCGGCGCCGUUCUCCUCGGGGCACCCGGGGCUUUUCGGCGCGGUUCUCCCCGGGGGUUCUUCGGCGCGGUUGUCCCCGGGGGUUCUUCGGCGCGGUUCUCUCCGGGGGCCUCUCGCCGCGGUUCUGUUCUCCCCGGGGGCUCCUCAGCAUGGUUCUCCUCCGCGCGGUCCUCCCUGGGCCUCCUCAGCGCGGCACUCUCCUGGGGGCUCCUCAGCGCGGCACUCUCCCCGGGGGCUCCUCAGCGCGGCACUCUCCCGGCGGCUCCUCAGUGCGGUUCUCCCAGACUCUCCUCAGCGCGGCCCUCCCCAUCUCUCUGGGAGGGUUUGAACACGGUCAGCACGGACCUGGGCGGACGGCGCGGGACGGGUGAUCACUGGCGUUGCUGAGGUGAGCUGUGUGCCCCGCGGCCGUCCCAGAUCACAGGCGUCAGCAGUGCAGCCUGGCCUGGGCAGUGCGCUCCCAUCUGCACCUUAUGGACAGCGUGGCCAGGGUCGAGGUCCGAGUUCCUGGCCGCGUCCCAAGGAUCGGAUUCCGGGUCUAUAGUUCUCAUGGUGGUUCAGAGUGGGCUGAAUUGGGAUUGGAGUCUGGAAUCCGCAUCGUGGUUCUGAGUCCGCGCUAUUGGGAUGGAAGUUGGGAAUCCAUGUUGUGGUUUUGAGUCAAAGCCCGAAUUGGGACCGGAGUCGGAAAUCCACUUAGUGGUUCUGAGUCAGGGCCCGAAUUAGGAUCGGAGGUGGGAAUCCCCGUUGUGGUUCUGAGUUAGGUAUCCUAGUUGGGAUCAGAAUUCGGGUCUAGGGUCCACAUCCUGGCUGGGAGUUUGCCUGAGUUGGGAUCUGAGUAGUUGGGGUCCCAGUCAGUCCGGGUCUGGAGUCCGCAUGGUGGUUUUAGGUAGGGCCUCAUUAGGGACAGAGGAUCGGGAGUCUGAGUUGGGGACCUGAAUCCCGGUCUGGAGUCUGCAUCAUGGCUCUGAGUUGAGAUCCAAGGGAGGUCCGAGUUGGCGACUGGAGUCAGGGUCUGGAGUCUGUCUUUGGGUAGAGGUUCUGAAUGGGGGGCUCUGAGUUAAGAGAUUGGGAUUGGGGUUAGAGGUCUCAGUGGGGUAUGGGAGUCAGGAAUUGAAGUCGAAGUUCUGCCUCUAGGUGGGGAUUCUGAGUCAGGAAUUAGGGGGCGAAGUAAAGGUUGCAGUCUGAGUUGGGGGUGGUGAUCACCUGCCAGGUGAGAGGUAGUGGUAGAAGUCUCUUGGUCAUAUUGGAGAUGAGAGUUGAUCAGAUGCAGGUCUCAGUCUGGGUAGUAGGCUUGAAGGGCCACCACUAUGUUCAGAUCCCAGUACCCCACUGUGGUCCCUGAGCAGGUCAAAUAGCCUUUUAUAUAAAAUUGAGAGUAAGAGUGCCUUCCCACAGCACUGUUCUGGUUAUGAAAGAGAAUAAUUCAUCCAGGUAGAAUAGUUCUGUCUUAGAUUAUCACAAAGUAUAAAAACUUUCCUGAUAAUAUCCACAUUUGAUGUGCAUUUACCAGUUCUUUCUUUACUGUGGUGCCCCUUUUGCUAGACCAAAAGCUCCCAACGAGGAACUCUGUUUUGUUUUCUGCUGCCUGCUCUGUACCCAGCCAAGAGCCUGAUACACAGCCUUACUCAGUCAGUACUUGAAGGAAAGCAGGCAGGCAGGAUUAACCAGAUUUCUAUGGUGUCUCAAAUGAUCCAUUUCUGCACCUGUUUUCCAGAUACUCAGUAGGAGAAAAAUUUAAGGAUUGAGUUGCUUGAUUAUGGGUGUAUUUUAAUGUGUUUCCUAACAUGCUGAGGAGAAAAGUGGGUCUGUUUCAGGAUUUAUGCUCCAGCUAGAGGGAUUUUUUAAAAUUGCGAAUCAGAGCAUGUCCAAAUUCAGAUAGAAAGCACAAGAAAACUAUAAAGAAUUUCCCUUAUGAAUGUAGAUGCAGAAGUUCCUUGUACAAUGCUAGCUAACUGAAUCCAAUAAUAUGUAUUAAACAACAAUUCUUAAACAAGUGGGAUUGCUCUUAGGAAUGCAAAGAUGAUCCAAUAUCAGAAACUUUAUCCAUGUAAUUCACAUUAAGAGGCUACAGGAGAAAAACCAUAUGGUUCCCUCAAUAGAGGCAGAAAAAAAUGAUGUGAUAAAGUUUAACGCCUAUGUGUGAUUUUGGGGUAGUGGAGUACACCACUUAGCAAGCCAGGACUAGAGAGGAACUUCUUCAACUUGAUACAAGUUAUAAACCAAAACUUAACUUUUCAGUAAACUUGAUAGAGAAAUUAAAAGUGUAUCAUUCUCUUUAAGAUAAGGAGUAGGCCAAGGAUGUCAUCCUGGCCAUACCCUAAUACAAGAAAAAGAAAUGGGGAUGUGAGGAUCAGGUAGGAAGUGAUAAAACUUAGUGUAGCUCAUAGGGUUGAUGGUCUCCAUAAAGAUUCUCAAACAUUUUGGUGUUACGACUUGUUGUAUUCUUAAAAGUUAUUGAAACCCCCAAAGGGCUUUUCUUGAUAGAGAUUCUAUCUGUUGAUAGUUACCAUCUUAGAAGUUAAAACUAAGAAAUGUUUAAAGCAGAACUAUACAAGCACAUAUUCCACUGGGGUCAUGGUGUGCUGCCUCUGGAAAACUCUUUAUCUUUGUGAGAAUGAAAGAAAAGGCAAAUAAUGUCGAGUAUUAUUAUGAAAAUGUUUUUGACCUUUCCUGAAAGGGUCUGGGGGGCUCUCUGGAAUCCCCAGACUACACUUUGAAAAUUACUGGGCUACAUGGAAAAAAAAAAUUAAGGAACUUAACAACUAAAGAGAGAUUUCAGAUUUCAGAGAGGUUUUGGAUAUAAGAUCAGUGUACUCAAAACAAAAAACAAAAACAAACCACAUUUCUUUAUGCCAAUAGCAACUGACUAAAAAAAAGCAUAAUAGAGAUUAGGACAGCAAUCAGAAUAGCAGCAAAAUUUAUACCAGUCUAGGAAUUAACAAAGACGACGACUUUUAUGGAAAAAAUUUUAAAACUCUAUUGGAGGAUAUAGAGGGAGAUCUUUCCAUAUGCAGAGACAUUUUAUUUUCUUGAACAGGGCAACUUGGCAUUAGAAUGACGUCAGGAUUUUCCAAAUCUGUUAAGUUCAACAGGACUCCACUCAAACUUCCAGUUGGAGGGCUUGAGUAAUUUAACAAACAUAUUCUAAAAUGUAUGUGGAAGAAAAAUAUUUGUAAAUGCCAACUGAACUUUUGAAAAGGAGAGCAGAGGACUUCUGCUGGCAGAUACCAGGGCACACGCCAACUUCAGCAAUCAGAGCGGUGUGGUGACAGAGGCCCAGAAGAGAGCUCAGAGGUAACUCCAAGUCUAGAGGAAGGGGACAUGUGAUAAAGGUGGCACCACAUAUCAGUGGGGACUGUUCAGAAGAUGAUGUUGGAAAGCCAGCCCUAAAAUGGAGGAAUAGGAAUAUGGAUUCCUAACUGAGCCCCUAGGAAAAGUAGACUCCAAAUGGACUAAAUAUUUGAAAGCAAAAGGUAGUUGCCAUUUGUUUAAUAGGAGAAAAAAUGAAUAAUCUCCAGGGCCAGGGUGGCCGUGGGGUUCUUAAACAGGAUCCAGAAAGCACAAACCUCAAGACUAAAAUGUAUGAACUUGAAUGCAUUAAUGAUUAUGGAUUAAGGAUUUCUGUUAAAUAAAUCCAUCAUGGCAAGGGUCAAGACUGUUUUCAUAAUAAUACUAAGGAAACAAUUUGCGUUUUUCACUUUUACACUCAUGAAUGUAACUUUGCCAUGACUCAUUACAAGAUAUUUGAAACAAUUAAAGCUGAGGAGGGAACAACAGCUAAAAUAUACCAGAAAGCACCACAAAUCAUUAAGAAAAAGGUAGGAAGAUUGCCAGUUUGCAGGAGGGUUAACAAACAGAUGAAAAUUUGCCCAAGCUAAUCAGUUAUCAGAGAAAUGUAAAUGAAAGCAACAGCUAUUCUUCAUAGGAGAAGCAUUAGAAAGUAGGAUAAGGCCAAGUGUUGGCAGAAGGCAAGGAACAAGCCUCCCUGUGUGCUGCAGGUGGGGACGGAGACAGGCACAGACGUUCUGAAGAGCUGGCCAACACUUCUUCCUCAAAUAAAAUAUUUUAUACCUGUGGCCCAGCAGUUUCCCUCCUAAGUAAACAUGCUGGAGCAGUUCUCACCCAGAACAACGAGAGGCUGUGUGUGUGCAUGCUCAGGGCAGCAUGGCCCAUAGGGGUGGGCAGUUGGAGCUGGUCACUGUGGUUAGGAGCAGGGGACUAGAUGUACACUUCACAAGAUAGAGACGCGUGGAAACACAGUGCUGAGUGACACAAAUGCCAAACAGAAAGAGGGCCUCAGUACAUGACUGUGUAUUUAAAUUAAAAUUACACACCACCCAGACACGCAGUACUAGGGAGUGCUCGUGAGUGCACACACACACACACAAUGAUAUAAAUAAAUUACCCUGGAGAAGCUGUUUGUGUAGGGAGGAGAGCAAGGAUAGAGGCUAGAGAUGAAGUGGAAAAGCAUGGAGAGGAAGAGAGCGGUGACUUUAUGCAGACCCUUACAGGGUGACAGUGUUUCAUAGGCUGAGGGCUGUGAUCAACUCUGUGCAGAGUCCCAAAAGCCAAGAACCAACGAAUGAAUGUGCCUCCAUGACUCUCCUGCCAGAUACCCUCUAGUGGCUUCUAUUUCUAGGAAAUAAAAUUCAAAUUCCAUCAGGUUUUUACAAGAUCUGCCCUGCUUACCUCUCUGACCACUGUCCUCCCUCACUGAGCUUUGGCUCUGCCAGCCUUCUUCUUCUUUGUUAAAUCUGCCAAGUAUCCCUCCUGCCCCAAGGCCUUCACCACCUCUGCCUGGCUUGUCUUUUCUGGUGAUCUUCCCUUGACAAUUCCUUCUUCUUAUUUAAAUCUCACAGGAAAUUUUGCUCUGACCUGCCAUAUCUGUCAUCCCCUUCAGUCACUCACUAGCUGACGACUACCUUUCGAGUCUCUGCAAAGCACAGGCUACGCUUUUCUAGUUCCUUAGACAUCUACUUAUUUGUUGGCUGCCUAUCUCUUCCACCGGAAGAGAGGCCCCAAGAGAGCAUAUCUGUCUUCCGUAUAGGGUCCGCACAUGGUGGGUGUGUCACAGAUUUCUGUUGAAUGGUUUCAUUCAUUUAUUGAACGAAGGAAGAGGCCAGGCCAGGAAAGUGUGCCUCCAUUUUCACAACUCAGUGAGAAAGCAAAUAGCAUGUCAAAAUCUGACCCCUUGCAACCAGGGUUUCUUAGCCAGCCACACUGGUAAUGCUUGGGACAGGAUGUAUCUUUGUUGUGAGGGGCUGUCAUUUAUAUUGUAAGAUGUUUAGCACCCUGCCUGGUCUCUACCUAGUUGAUAUUAGUAAUUCUCCCAUAGUCAUGAUAGCCAAAAAUAUCUCCAGACAUUGCCAUAUGUCCCCUGGGGGGCACCGCAGAUGACAACCACUUCCUUAGAACAGCUCUUGGGACUGGGAUGGUGUCUCUGCUGUGGCUCUUUAAAGGCAGCAGGCCCUGGCUUGCAUCCUGCCACAUCUAACACCUAUAGCCUCACCACCUCGGUGAGAAAGACCCUGGCCCAGGCCUGGCCAAUCAGAGUACCCUCUUCCCUGGUCAGCAGUAUAAUUUGUUUGGCAAGCACUUCCAGUCCCACAACCUAUGGGCUGCCACCCAGAGGUUUAGUUGGAACUACGUGUCAGCUGCCGUCCCUCAGCCAUCUAUGGCAUGGGCACCUGUGGCUUGACCAAGUUGGAGGUGGCCUAGAGAGGCCGGGCUGGGCCUGCUCACCUUCUCCAGUUAGUGCAGACUGAUGAAUGAGUGGUUCUCAGCGGAUACCGGAUCCAGGUUUGCAGUACACUCCAGGAGGAGGACGAGUAGGGUUUCCCUCAGAGCAGGCCUGGAUGGGAGGGCAAGGGGUGGCCUCUAAUACUGCCUUUCCUUCCGGUGCCUUUAUCAGCCUGUGCCAUGCUCCUCUGAACUGGCCGGCCCCAGCAUGUCCAGGUUACUGGCAGGAGCCUGUAUAACCCAGGGUUCCAGUCACACCAGCCAGGAAGGCCCAUGAGGCUGGAGCGCACCCAGUCUCUGGCUGCUCUGUCUGCGGAACUAAAAGCCUUUCUCCCAGAGCCUUUCCUACGGCUGGGCGAAGCUCUUGUUUGCAAUUUAAAUGUGGCCUCAUUUAUGGAAGAAUCCCUGCUCCUCCGAAAAGCCUUGGGCUCAACCUCCCUAGCAGCCCGGGCCUCAGCCAGGAGAAGAAAUGGAUCUAAAAGGCCUUUCUCCUGCUAAUUGUAGCAAUUAGCAUUAGAGAAUGGGGACUCGAUGGGGGGCCAGCGCCUGGCAAAACAAGCUUAUUCCCAGCUUAGGCCCAGGCCCAGCUCCACACACUGCUGCUUGGCCAGACUCGGCCCCCACCCAGGGUCUGGUUGGCUUCAGGGCAGGGAGAGAGGGCCCAGGCCUGUGGGUGCUAAGAGCAGUUGUGGAGGGUGUGCAUCUGAGUUGUUAAGCCUGGUAGCUGUACAGGUAGCCCUGGGCUAUGACUUGUGGUCCUCUCAGAAAAGGGUCUGACUGGAACGCAGAGCCAGACCAGAUAUUCAUGAGUGGAUCACAGAGUGUAGACUGAGGGCUAUCUGGUGAUUGACAGAAAGUAGUCUUGGGGCAAAUGACUCUUAAAGAGUAAGGAGCCAUUCCCCUCUAUGGCUAACUGGAUGCCUUUCUCUCCCCCUGCUCCAGAAAGGACUUCCUGUUCCUUCACUGAGCGUGCUUGCUUAUGAGGCUUCUGGAAACCAGGAGAGUUCAGUGGGCCUCAUUAUUGAGCGUAUGGGCAGGACAACCUGCUUGGGACAUAGGCCAUGCUACAGUUGAUUUUAGCCAGCUUGCUGCAUCUACACAGCACAGUGCCUUCCCAGGCAGUGAAUUAUGUCUAACAGGCAGGGGAAUGAUCAUUGCCUCAUGUUAGGGAUGCAGUCAUUCAAGAAAUAUUUGUCAAACACUCAGCAGGUACUAGACCCUGGCCCAGAGGGAGGGAUUUGAUAGGAGCAGGGACCUGCCUACCCUCCCAGGGUUAGUGGACAAAGGGGAGAAAGACUAACUAAUGUUGAAGGACCGUUUGCACCCUGAGGGGAGUGCUGAGGCCUGGGAGCACAGCAGGUGUAUAGCAGGAACCCACUGGAACUAGCCUGGGGUCUGAAAAACUCCCUUGGGGAAAGUGGCAGGGGCAGGCCAAGGGCCCUCUGGUGGUAGGGAGCCUGUGAGCACCUGGGAUGGAAAGAAGCCAAGCAUCUGAACUACCAGAAAGGCAGCUGCAGGAUUAAGCAAGACCCACAGGUCUCUAAACUUUGAAAGGAUGUCUGUCCACUGAGUAGAUAAUUGAUUGGAAUGGGGCAGGGGAUGUGAGAAUGCCAGUUAGGAGAUGCCUGCAGUACAGAGAAAUGGUGGCCUAUCAGGACAGUGGCAAUAGGGAUGGAGGGAAGCAGGGAACCUCUAGAACUAUGGAUGGGUGAAGUAAGCCUGGCUUGGUGAUGGGCUUGAGGUGAUGGGCAGGUGGUGAGGAAGCGGGUGUAUCGGAAAUGACCCCAGAACUUCUGACUUGUGCCACUGAAAGGAUGGGUGACACUGAAAGGACAGGGGCCUUCAGUAGAGUGGGCUAUAAAAUGAUGGAGGCUGUGGAGAGGAGGUGGGGGCAGGUGACUGGAAUGUGGGUCUGGCUGGGUUGGAGAGACAUUUGGGGGGUCAGGGCCUCACAGGUGGUCUGGAAGCCCUUGGUGCUGAGGGAACAGCUUAGGGAAAUGGUUUGCAUAGAGAAAGGCACUGGCAUUUAGUGGCCAUGCCAGAAGGGAAAACCUGCCAAGGAGACUGAGGAUAGAGCCAGAAAGAUGGCAAGAAAGCCAGGAGAACUGGAGGGAUGGAAAAGAGGACCUAGGGGUCAUGGUCCUGGCAGAGGUCACAUUGGAUCCAGUGCUUGUGAUUCUCUGAUUGCUGGCAGUGGAUGGCCACUGGCCUGCAAAUGGCCCUAGUGGAAUGUCCCCUGCCUGUGUGGCUCCCUGUGGGCUGCCUCUCCCCUGGACAGAUGGGGAGAGACCCCUUCCCCACCUGGUUCUCUGUUUCACCCUUGGAACUGUGGCGGUAAAGAGGACCUCCCCACAGUACGUGCAGGGAACAAGCUAGGUUGACUCCCUCAGGGAGGCCUCGUCCUUGCUGAGGUAUUUCAUAACCUCAGGAUAGAGAAAUCCCCCCAACUUUAAUGCAAAGCCAAGCAAGCUGAAAAAUGGCCUUGAAUAGGCUGAGAUGAAAAAACAAAGAGGCUGUCAACAUCAGAGACUCAGUGGGGGCAGGGAGCUUCAGUGGACUCCCCACAGACAGCAGUUCCUGGGCUUCUAUGCCCAGACCCAGAGGCCUGAGCCCAAGAUGUCAGGAUGGGUGGUCACUGUAAGUGCAGUGGAUUGUAGCUCAGGGGUGAGACAUCGCCUUUUUCUUGUCAGCUCUCCUUCCUGAUUAGUGGCUCAAACAGCCUUCCGAGACUCAAGGGGUUAACUGCAGAUCCUCUAACUCCUCCACUUGCUAAUUUUUAAACACAGCUGAGCUCUGAGCACCCCUCCCAAGGCUGUGAGAGGCCAGAGGCCAGCACAGACUCUGCACCAGGUCUGCACAGCCUCCACCCCUACUGUUGUCAGGAAUCUGCAGGCAUCUAGAACAAAGGUGCCUCCAUUAUUUCCCUCACCCAGCAUAUCCUGAUACCUGAGCCAAGAGUUCACCCAGAGCUUUUGCCCACUUCAUUGAUGGUCUGGUGGGCUUUUGUUGACACAUACCCGUGACUCCCAAAUGAACCUUUCAGGUUGGCUUAAAGCCGCUGGGACCUACACAUGACAAAACCCAGACGGAAACAGUGGCUUACACUCCUGUGUCCCUAAAGGUACCUGUUCCUAACAGUGGGAGUGCCAGAGCCUGGAAGCUGGAAGCCAAGGAGACAGGGACCUCCCUCCUGCUGACCCCCUGCCAGGCCACAUCCACCUAAGGGAUUUGGGAUCAUACUCCAUCUUCAACCACUGGGAUCAAAUGGAAAGCCCUCAGGAAUUCUGAGAGACAGCCCCUAUACCUAUGUGCACUGACACACAUACACUGACAAAUACGCAUUCUGACACAUAUAUGAACAUGCACAUAUGUGUGCCCCACUCCCUGCCAGGAGGUGGGUUCUGUCCCAUCUUUGACAUGUUACUUCUUGUCCUUCCCUAGGCCCAGUGGCACUUUCUUUGUGAUAGGUGCUGAGACCCCCCCGACUGGGCCCAGUGGCUGUUCCCAGGACCCAGUCUCUGCUCUUAUCUUAACCCAGCUCUAGCUCCCAGGACCCCAGCCUUUCGCAGGGAGAGAGAUAGCUCUUUUGGUCUGGCACAUGUUCCAUGCCAAGUAGUGGAAACAGCAGCUGCAGGGCAGCCUCAGACUUGACAUCAUUUAAUCCUUGUGACAAUCCUACAGGGAGGAAGACACUACACAUAUGUGCAGAUGCAGCAAGGAGCAGCUCAGCCACAUGGAAUGACUUGCUUGAGGUCACCAGGCACUUGACACAGCAGAGUUUAGCCCAGUCUCUGGAGAGACCAGCCUUCCACAUCCUGUCAUGCUGGGGAGGGCUGCCCGCUUUUUGUCCCUGCUCCCCCAGUUCUAACCCCGGAAGAGCGAUUGUCCCUGCUGUGCCUUCAGCCCAGACAGAAGCAGGCUAGGAGAGGGGAGGAGAGGCAGGGCUGGCCCUCGGAAGGCUCACCUUCCUCAACAGUUCUCUGCUUGGGCAAAGGUCUUCCAAGCAGCCAGGCUCUGAGGCUAGUCACUGUCAUCGUUGGGUGAGGCAGCCUGGGAGUACCAGAAGUUGGAGCAGGUGGGAACCUUCCCCAGGGAUGGGGCUGGAUAGGCAGGGGUGGGUGCUAAGUGGCAGGCCACAACCAGGCACCUGGGAGGGCCAAGCACCACACUGAGAACGCAGUGCUUCCCCUCCCCUCCUAGGCUGCUCAGGAACCCAUCAGUCUCCUGUAAACAAAUGAGACUAAGUCUCUGGCACUCUAGGCCCAGGUGCAAAGGACAGCUGCCCCUGCAGCUACUCACUCUGCCCUGGCCCUCUCAGGAGGCUUGUGACCUCUGCACCUGCUGGCUUGUUUUGUUCCUAAAAUACCCGGAUCCUUGAGAAUCUAGAAGACACCACUGCUAACAGAUUUCCACAUCAUUCAUUCUGUUCUUCCUGUGCAAGCUUCAUGCUGGGACAGGGACCAUAAAACAAGGUGACCCAAAACCUUCAGCAGAAUGCAGGUAGGCAGAGCAGAGGUCUCUGGGAGUGUCAUUCCAAGGCAGUGUCUUCCUCCUCCCCUAUGCUCCCCAUUUCCCAAGAGUGGGCUUCUUCCACCCCACUCAAGCACCUCUUCCCAAGGCUGACCUAAAGGCCUCAAGCUCUGCGGAUAGGGGCAGUCCUGAGGUGGCAUUGAGUCUUAGGGUUGGAGUGGGAGAUAUCUGUGCAAAGGCUGAUAGGAACGUCCUCCAAGGGCUGACUUCAAAGCUUGGCCUAAACCACUGCAUCAAAGUCAGCAAGCUGAGCUGUUUGCACAGAAAAGGAGGAGGAGCAGGCCCUUGAGCCACCUGUAGCUCUCCUUAGGGUCUCAGGCUUUCACACCAGGGCAGGCCUUGGGCCAGACUACCCAACUUCCAGGCCGGAUGUGCCACCGGGGAGGAGGAGGUAACUGCCCCUCAAAACCCUGCAGCCCAGGGCUCCAGGAUUCCAACCCAGGGACCUGCAGGCUCCCCUGCUCUCCAGAUCAGACCCCUACUCUCAGAGCCCUAGGCCCAGUGGGUGACAGCCUGUGAGACAGGCCUGUGUGGGGUGGCCCUAGCCCCACCUCAGCUUCCAACCUGACCUUGCUGCAUGACCUCUGGCCCAGCCCUCUCCACCUGGAGUGCCAUCUCUCUUUGUGGGAUGGGCCAGGUGGGCUGUGUGUGGGGGAGGGCAAGUAUAUAGGUGUGGUAUAGGUGGAAACUGCCACAGUAACCAGCAGCAGCUCAGAGCCGGGCCACCCAAUUUGUAUGCCAGCCCCAGCUGGGCCUAGGCACGUGGUGUGUGGAAAUGAACGAAGCAGGCAGCCCUAUGUUUAGGAGGCAGGUCCAGAGCUCACCCAGGCACAGCACAAGAUGAGUGCCUGGCCUCAGUGAGCGAGCACUGGCUGCUAUGAGGCUGUGGUGUGGAACCUUGACACUAGGGCCACUGGCCUGGCUGUGUGACCUCUACCUCAUCACCCAGAGCAGGGCAACCAGAGGCAGAGCCUCAGUGUGGUGUUCUCCUGUGAAAUAGUGAUGGCACAGGCAGGGGCUGGGGCCCAGUGCCUACACAGAGGAUCAGCAAAGGAUGGCAGUUAUUGAAACCUCUACGGGGAAGUUCCCCAGACACGAGAGGAAGACCCCCAUGGAAGCUGUGUGUGUGACGUGCUUAGAUUUUCCAGAGUCUUCAUUUUCCUUGUCUAAACAGAGGUCAUGGCGCCUCCCUCUCAGAUCAAACAGCCCUGUAUGAGUGGCUACAACCUUUGGUGGGCUCAGUGCAGCCCCUCCUGCCCCCUUGCUUGGGAGCUGUCUGCAGAGGCCUAGGGAGCUGCGUGGGGUCUCUCCACCUCAGCCUGUAUCCCCACCCCCACCAGGUCCCCUGCCUGACUCCAGCAUACCCAGGCCCUAGAAGCACCAACUCCAUGGCUGCAGCUGAGUGGAGUGUGUGCCUGCCCAAGCCUAGAGGGGUGCUGACCCCUCCCUCGCACGAGGAGACAUCAAAGGGAAGCAGGAAGCAGCGGCCUGGCUGACCCACAGCGGGUGGGAGAAGUGCAGCCUCACAACUGCUGGGGAUUUUCCAUCCCACCAGGAUUUCCGCGGGACACCCCAAGUCCAGCCUUUGAGGCUCCUCAGGAACCAGAGUUUGGCCUGGAGCCAGUUGGGGCAGAGGAGGGGGGCCAGGCUGGGUGGCUUAGGGGUGUGGUUAGGCCUGCUAAGGGGCUCCUCUUCUCAGUCUCCCCAUGAUUUGCUGGUUACUGGCUUGAAAUCUGGGCCCAGACCCAUUCCAACACUGAACCCUGAGCUCCCUGAGACCUGGCUGGCAAGGACAGGUCCCAAUUUUUACAGGGGCCUGAGAGGAAUGGAGAAGGGAUCUCUGCCCCUUCCUUUCUCAGUCACACCUCCUUGACAGGGGGUCAUCAGAGUGGGCUGUGGUAGGUGCACCAGGGAAGGGACCAUACAGAGGAGGCUGGUCUCAAGUCCUAGGGUGCCUGGGAUGGCCCUAUUGAAAUGCUGCAGCAGCUCUUGUGCAGGCAGGGAUCUGUAUGGACAGCUGGGUGGACACAGGUGCCUACUGACCUCCCAGAUCCUUCAGCAGAGCUCAGCCCUGAGUGACAGCCCAAGGCAGACCUGGCUACCUCAGCCUCUGGCUCACAGCCCUCAGCCAGAGCCCUGAGAGGCCUGGGAUCUCAAAGCUGCAAGGUGGGAGGCCAGAGGAGAGAAGCCCGGAGCUGGUAGUGAUGCUGGCUGAGUGAAAAUUGCACAUUUCCCAACAGUGUGAUGCUCCCUAUCCAGCCUGGGCUUUUGGCAGACUUCUGUGCUUUGUGGAGGAAGCUGGCUCAGAUUCCUCCCCUCCCUGUGCAGUUUGUGUGUCAAGGUGUACUUGUCACACCCAACUCAGGAUAUCUUGCAUCACUUUGUGGGUCCUUGUCCCCCAGAGCUGGGACUGCUGAGUUUUAGCCCUAAGCUCUUGCUCCCAUCUUAGCAAGUCAGGGCCCAGUGUUGUCCUUGCCUCUGCAUCAGGAUGGUAAGCUGGGCAUGCUCCGCAUCACGGAGACCUGCAUGGACCUGGAUUGGGUUGCCUCUAUCUUCAGGCUGGUCACUGGGCAGACACAAACCAGGGCCUCUGGCCAGAGGGGACAGUGGCUCUGAGUUACUUGUGCUGCUCUUUAGGGGUGAGCAGGGGCUGCUUGUGCAUCAUAGUGUAUCACAGGGGAUGCACAUUUACAAUUGAAAGCUACUGGUCCUGGGUAGAAGUGGGGCCGAGUAGGACUUCCCAGCCUUGAACAUGGGUUUGUCAUCCAACUGGGACCCACACUUGAUCCAGCGGCCAUGCUCUGUGCAGCCUGGGCCUGAGGGCAGCCACGCUCAUGUGAAAAGUGCUAGUAGCCAAGCUGCCAUUCUAGUCACCACAGCUGUCCUUGCAGGAGCACAUUGCCCAGGGCUGGGAGCUGUCAUUUCCGUGACGGGAGUGAGACUCAACACUGGGUGAGGGUGGGGGUAUCUGUUGGGAAUUAUUUCAAAACAAUUGUGGAAACUUGGCAGUGGAGGGGCUCUGGGCAUAGGUAUCCACAAUAUCCUAGUCAGGGGUUGGGGUACCCUGGCUCUGCUGAUAAGCCCAAGUGAGCAUACUCCUCCCCCAGCUUGGAACAGGUGGGACGGGCCAGGUGACACUAGUGUGGUCUGUGGUCUGGCCUCCCAAGCCAGUGGCAGUACUGGGGUGGCAGACAUUUGCUGUGUGCUAUCCCAAGGCCUAAAGGUCACACAGCUAGGUUGGAGCAGGGUUUUGGGCAGGAUGAGUAGGCAUUGCUGUGCUCUCAGAAAGGCGAAGCAAACCCCAGAAGCAAGGGGGCGAGACAGGGCAAAGGCCUACACUUUGCCAUCAACUCAGGCCUACUCAAUGCUGGCCCUGUCCUUCCCCUGCCCCUGCCCCAUCAGAUGGUGCGAGCUGGCGGGGCUUAGAGUGAGCCCCCCUGACUCUUCUUGGUGUGGAGUCUGAGGCCCAGAGUGUACAGGCCUCAUCCGUGUGACCCAGCAGGAGGAUGGGAGAGUGGGCCCAGAACUUGGUCAGGCUCAUCCGUGGAGAACAAGUUCUUCCCUAGUCUAGUUGUGGUCUGAGUCCUGGGUGAAGCAGGAGGCAGCCUGGGAAACAGCCUCGUUCUAGUAGGAAUCGCAUUCUCAGGAACGCUGACUGUGCAGGGCCCUUUCUCACUGCCACCUGGGAGGAUGCCUGCCUGCUGGCCAUUUCGGCGGACUGUCAGAGCACCCUCCCUGGGGUCCCAGACCGAAGGCCUGAAGUCCACAUGGGACCCCUGAACUUCUGGUACCUGUGUGGGCUUGUCCCCUCAACCCUGAGUGGAAUGGCAACAGCCAGCUGCAACCCUCCUAGCUUCCUGUCAUGUGCUGUAUGGAAGGGCCAAGAGCUGUAGUCAUCUGCAGAUCCUCCCACUGCACCUGUAGGACUAGCGUCUCCUGUCUGGAUGUGAGCAACUUGCUGGUGGCCUGUGAGAUGGGAGUUGCACUGGGCUUCUGGAUAAGGGCUUCUCGUUCAGGUGACAAUUCUAUGUGAAGGAGACCCAUGGAAACACAUCUAUCCCCUGCCCAUGUACCAGGCAGAGAUGGUACCUGCCCAUGUACCCUCCAUGACAUGGCUGGGUCCCUGAAACAUCAGACAGAUCGAUACUCUGUGUGCAUGUUUGUGGGCAAGACACAGUGGCACGUGUGCCCUGGAGUUUGGUAAUGGGAGGACUGAAGUAGUGCCUCCGUGUGUGAGCUGUGCCAGCCAUCCCCACGAAGGGGGCAUUCCAUGCAGAUGGGGAUCCUCUCCAGGCAGCUUCUUCCACACCUGAUUAGCUCUGACCAUCAGACCCCCCGUGCCAAAAGGGCCCCUUCCCUGGAAUCUGUAAUUCUCACAGGCUGUCCCAUACAUUUUAAAUCCAGGAAAUGUGCUCACCCAUGAGACAGGGAUGGCAAGAAGAUAUGAAUGAAAAGCAACCAGUCCGUAAAAUUGGAAGCCAUUUCACUCCUUACCAGGUACAAAGAUAACAUGCUGCAUGGAUCAGGGACACAAACUUACCUACCUUAUGAUGUAGUGAAAGAAUCUAAAACUUUUGUCUCAGCAGACUCCCUGGAGGAAGCCAAUAACAGGAGGCCUUGACUAGGAGACCUCAAGCCUUGGAAUGUGCCCAGACCAGUGGGGAGGGAAGGCUGGGAGGCAGUCCUCCCUUACCCCUUUUCUCCCAGGCAGACCUACCCUGGGUUCUCUCCAGGCCCCUCCGCCUGAGCAAGUGCUCAGUUGGCCACUAGCUCCCUGCACAUCCAACAAGCCUUUCUUUCCUGUUCCUUCUUCAAGGAAGGCUUAGCCUCAAAUCCAGGGCCACAGACAAAGGACAGUCACUCUCCUCUGCCAGAAAGUCAUUUAUGGGACAUGGAGAAAGCAUCAAAUAUAUUGCUUUUCCAACACCUAACAGUGGAAUAGGAGGAAUAGAAGGAGAACUCAGCCAGAAAGUUCUGGAGCAUAGUCUUUUUGCCAAAAGAACACGUUUUCAAAUGAAAGAGGUGGUGCUGGGGCACUGAGGAAUCAGGGGGAUGGACCCCACUGGAGCUUGUCUCAUGCUGGCAGCAAGUCCCAGGCCUCAAACACAUACCUGGGCCACCUCAGGAGAGAGACUGCAGGGAAGAAAUGAGUUGCAAUGCUCCAGCCUAACCAACUCCCCUUUUGUUAAUCCAAUCCCAGAAGGUACUGGGUAGGGUCAGUUAACAGACAGCUGCCUGUCUCCUGGCAGAGUCUGACCAAGCCCCAGUGGGCGCUUCUCUUCCUAAGUCCUCUGGUGUACCCCAUUCUUCAAGGGAAACGGUCCCCUUAAGAAUCUAUGUGAAAGGGUUCUGAAAUUGCUGUACCAGUUAAUGAAUUAUUUACUCUAAACAAUGUCUUGAUAAAGGGGGAGGAUGAAGUUAGCUGAUGUUGACUAAGGAGAGACGGAGUUGCCAAGGAAAUUCUUCUAAAUGAAAAAAAAAAAAAAGUAAAAGCAGUCAGCUGGUUUUGUCUGACUAUGAAACGUGUCACAGAGCAUGCACCUUUGGCCAUCUUUUGCAUUUAUGAUUUGGAAGAGAGAUGUAGCAGUGAGUGUGGGGCCAGGGAGGGGAAUCCAACAAAGCCAUUCUGCAAGCUAGUGGCUGGGAUUUUGGGGUAUAGAGUAAGAGCAGCCAGCCUUAGAGGCCCAUGUCAUCUGGGCUGCCUCAGAGCUAAAGCUAGGUAACCAGAGGGAGUAAGGAAAGGCCUGAGUCCCAGGCUAGGCUUUUCACAGUUGUAUUGAGAUGGGAAAGUAAGGGAUGUUCCUUGCAGCAGAUGCAGGGCCCAGUUGUCUAGAGCAGUAUUUGAAAUGAGUUGGCAUUUCAGGGCAGUGUUUGUGAUGCCAGUCAGUAGGUAGGGGCUUCUACCUCUUUUUUAGAAAUGUUUACUCUGAACUAAGCUCUAUGCUUUAACAAGUUAUGUUUUAAUAGGAAAACUGUCAUUGAUGGAAUCAUAUGUAAUUCCUACAUUUUUCCAGUUACCCAUUCCUGGGGAAAGCUUAGCCAUUGGACAAACCACCCAGAGCCCCAGGAACCUGCAUUUGCAGACAGCAGUGGCAGGCACAGUGGCCUAGUGUUGAGCGGGGGAAACCUGGCCUCUAUGUGUCUGGUUUUGCAAACUAAAACGCCAUUGCCCAUACUCAGGCUGACAGGUUCUGGAGGUGCCAUGGACUCCUGCUCUGUAUCUCACCUCUAGUUCCAUCACAAUGCAUGAGCUGUCAGUGGGAGCCUUUUAAUGCAGAUGCUAAUACCCAUUCCUAAUGCUAGCCCAUCCCCACACCCUCCUGAGUUGGUGCGAUAUAUCCUGGGAACAAGAAAAUCUGAAGGCUCCUGGUCCUCAGGCUAGCAAGAGCCUUGCCUGUAAGAAGUGGGAGAAGGUCACCUCUCUCAGGAGGCAGAACUAAGGCUGCACAGCACAAGGGAGAUGUCUGAAUGCACAGUCUGGGUGGCAGAAGGACUCCUGUCCUUUCUUCCACACAGACCUGAGCACCUCUCCAGGUGCCACCAUUUUCUGUCUGGGAACAUCUGCUAUCCCCAAGCCUCAGUUUCCUGGUCUACAAAACUGAGAUGGUCUCUUCUAUACAAGGCCCCAGGAGGAUCACUGCAAGUCACUGCAUUUCAUGGUGCCCAGAUUUCCCUGCAUUUCUAGAAUGUCAACAGAGAUGAGUGGGCUCAAGGGGAAGAGAUUCUUUAUGACUAGAGAUAUUCUGGUCAACUUUGGACCCCAGCUUCUAUGGACAAUAGCAUGUGGACAUGAGCCCUGGGGAAGCAGGGAUGACUGAGCCUGAAGAAGAGCUCUCAAGCCUUACACUCUCCAGACCAGCCUUGGGUUGCCUGAACCCCAGCAUAGCCUUAUGGAACCCCUGCCAGGGUCCUAGCACCUGGUUUGACCUGGGCACAAGUACUCACUCACUCACUCACUCACUCACUCACUCGUCAAACAUUCACUGAGGGUCCGUGACAGGCUCCAUAUGGAUUAAGCACUGAAGAUAAAACACUGAAUAGAAACAGCCAGCCUAUACCCUCAUGCUCCUUGAAUGUGAUAGAAGGAGCCAGCCAGUAAACCCUUUACCACAAAUAAACACACAGUUACACAUUAAGAAUGGGAGGGGAGGUAUGUGAUUUUUUACAGCCCAGUCUUAAGCUUUAGAAAUUGGCUCCUCUGAGGAAGGGACAUUUCAGCUAAGAACCACAGGAUAAGACAGUCCUGGCCUGGGGAAGGGGAGAGAAGGUCAGGAGAGAGCUUGAUAUGUUUAAUACUGAAAGAAUAUUUGAUGAGCUGGGACAUCUCCUGCAGAUCCACGGCUCCCUAGCUUUGUGACCCUGGGCCCUAGACUCAAUCCCUCAACCCUUAGGAGAUUAUCUAUAAAACAGGAGUGAUAAUAUUCUUGUGUUAAAAGCUGCUGUGAGGAUUAGUGAAAUGAUGUCUAUAUUUGCCUGGCAAACAGGAAGUGUAAGUAGUAGUAUCAUUUGAAGAUUAUUCUUCAGCCUAAACGUGUGUUCAUUAUGGCCGGUGUGUUUUCUCCCCACCUAGAUGGUAGUGCUGGGCCUCCUUUGGAGUACCUUGAUGUUUGGGGAGCAUGGAUGAUAUGACCAUAACCUGAGAAGGCAGGGACUGUACCCAUUCUGGUCCUCCCAGGUCCCAGGGCCCCCACAGUGCCCUGGUGUGUGAUCAGUGCCCACAAUACUGAAUAGAGGAACAGACACAUGGGAAGCAACGGCAGCCUGGUCUUUAAGGGUGAGGGAGCACCUUCUCCUGAGAGAGGGAGAGAUAGGUUGGGGGAGGUUGGGUGGGGGUGGGGAGAGCGAGUGAGCAAGCAAGCUAGAAACUUCCUGAAAAGGGAAGUUACUCUAGAAAAGGGUAAGUUCCUUCCAGGCAUCAUGGGCUGGCUUAACCUGGACCAGUUUGACUUUACUAAGUCCCAUUUCUCAUCUAGGGAGCCUGAGGCCAUUAAGGUUAUCUGGUCCCAAAAUCCCCUAGAGCUGUCACAGGGAUCCCCAUUCUUUGCCUUUAGUCACCCCAGCCCCAAGAGCCAUCCUCCACAUGGAGUGAGCAGGGAGCUACAAGGAAAAGACGGUCACAGUUGGAGAGAGACAGAGAACCAGGUGGGCUGGUAGGACAGGAAGGUAUAGGGAGAAAGUGAAGCUCUCUCCUGGGGAGGCAGGAAUACUCUCCUGCUUCCUUCUACCCACUCUUCAUAGAACACAAACACUGCAAAAAUGACUUUUUCCAAACCCUCUUAGCAUUCAGAAGUAGAAUUGCUAUGUAAGAAUUUUUUCAUAGGUGCUUUUUUGGGGGGCAUCUAUUUAAAAAAUAACCACAUCAUUAGUGAAAUCUUCCAAAGUCUCUUUUUGGAGCCCACAUUUCACUAAUGUCCACAUCUGAGGAGGCUUUCAUAAUAAAAGAACACAUACCUAUUUCACCUAUGAUGGUCAGUGCAAUCUUGAAAACACUAGUAAAUAGUGUCCAUCAGCUUUAAAAAUACAAACCCAAAUUGGGUCAUACCAAAAUGCAAGGAUACACACAAUAACCUGGGUGAAUCUUCAGGGAAUUGUGCUGAGUGAAAAGAGCCGAUCCCAAAAAGGUGAUUUGCUAUGUGGUUCCAUUUAUAUAAUUUUCUUGGAAUGAUAAAGAAAUGAAGAAUAGGUUAGUAGUUGUCAGGGGCUAAGGACAGGGUAGGGUGGGAGGGAAUUGGGGGUAGCUAUAAAAGGGGGACAUGAGGGAUUCUUGAAGAGUUAGAAAUGUCCUGUAGUGAGACUAUCAAUGCAAUAUCCUGGUCAGAAUAUUGUACUACAGUUUUGCAAGAUGUUACUAUCGGGGGAGACUAGGUAAAGGAGUAUGUAAGAUUUCUCUGUGUUGUUUCUUAGAACUGCAUGAGAAAUGUACAAUUAUCUCAAAAUAAAAAUUUAUUUUAAAAAAUGCCCAAAUUAAAAAAAAAUCAGUAGUCCUCCUAAAAAUACCCAGAAAUGAAUUUUAGAAUGUCCAAAAUCCAUACAAAGAUCUAAAAAAAUAUGGAAGGAUGUUGCAAUGGAUUUGAACAUGUGGGUAAACUGCUUCUAUUUGUGGCUGGAAAGACUUUUUUUUUGAGGUGGGGAAGGCAAUUCUUCAUCAGUUAAUCUAAAUUGAAUGAAGUUUCAAUAACAAAUGCCAAUGGGAUAUGAAUAUACACACAGAUAGACAACUUUUUUUUUUUUUUUUUUUUUAAUUAGGCAAGCUGAGGCCAGGUGCAUUGGCUCACGCCCGUAAUCCCAGCACUUUAGGAGGCUGAGGCGGGCAGAUCACUUGAGGUCAGGAGUUUGAGACCAGCCUGGCCAACAUGGUGAAACCCUGUCUCUAAUAAAAAAAAAAAUUAGCCAGUCAUGGUGGCAGAUGUCUGUAGUCCCAGCUACUAGGGAGGCUAAGGCAGGAGAAUUGCUUGAACCCAGGAGGUAGAGGUUGCAGUAAGCCGAGACUGUGCCACUGCAUUCCCGCCUAGGUGACAAAGUGAGACUCUGCCUCAAAAAAAAUAAAAAUAAAAAAAAAAUUAGGCGUGCUAGUUCUAAGUUUAUAUGAAAAAAAUGCAUGUCCUAUAAAAUUCAGAAGUAGCAGCAGUCUGGCCCCUUGUGCUCCUCUAGCCCUCAACUGGCCUAACAGGCCCUAGUGUGCAGCAGGGACUAUUUUCCCAUCAUCACUGUCCACAGCAUCUGGACAAGAAUACAGAGAACGGCUGAUUUAAAAAAAAUCUAAUCUGGGAUCCUAUGCAUCCUAAAUAAUCUUAUGAGGAUGCACUUGUAUUUUUUCUGAUGCUGAUACUAUUCAUUCCAACUCGCCUCCCCAUCAGCUUUGUCAGGCACUGUGAAUUGCAUGGUACACAUGAUUACAAUGGAUGGAAUGGCCAUCAUGAGGUAUAGCAAUACAUUUAAGUAACACUGUGUCACUACUAUAGGACAGGCACUUUUCUGCAUACUUUAUAUUAUUAAUUUGUGUAAUCCUCCUAACAACCCUCUGAGGAAGGUACUCUUAUGAUUCCCAUUUUACAAAUAAAGAAACUGAGACUAAGUGACUCACUCAAGGUGUAGCAGGUAGAAAGUAGUGGAAUUAGGAUAUGAGUUCAGACUCCAGACCCUGUUAUUAGCCCCUGUCUUUGGCUAUGGAUUAGUAAAGGAGAGCACAGCCAAGGGUGGGACAGGCAGCUGUAGUCCUCUGGACCAGCUUCACAUGGAUGGGGCUGCAUUGUUACAGGUGGCCUAACUCAGACAUGGAAACUGAGUCGCUGCUGCCCAACUCAUGCCAUGAAACCAUUUUGGCCUGCACAGCUUAUAACAGCACUCUAGCUCUAGCUAUGACACUUUAUGGUGUUAGUGGGUUUUUUUGGUGGUUGGUAUGGAGGAGGGGCUGGGCUACAAGUUUUAGAUUAUGUUUCUUAUUGCGGGUUUUUAAAAAUUCUUGAAUUAGGCCUAUUUGCUCUUUUGUUCUCUAUUGAGUUAGCAAAUUCAGUUUUUCCAAGAUGCCCUGAAAGUAUGAUCAUACAUGUAUACGAAAUGGUCCUUGGGUCCAGCUGGCAACUCCUGUGCACCCCCGACCUGGAUUCUGCCUUCCUUGAAGUGAGCCUUGGAAGAAACAAGUGCUCAUGCUCCCUGACAUUAUUAGCUGCCACGAUGAAGCCUCAGUCCCAAACACCCCAGCUUCCUGUCUAACUCAAGAGCUAAUCCUGUGUUUAAAUCUUAAGAGUGUUUAGAUCUUAGGCCAUGCCAUGAAUUCCCCUGGUUGACUGCAUUUGUGAAAAUGAGCUUCCCAUUAUUGGCUCUUAAGUAAUGGAGAUGAGGGGGAGUCCUGCUACACAGAUAAGUGCAUCAUAAAGUUACAUAAUUAAAAUAACUGAGCUCUGGCCUAUCAACAGGCCCAUCAGCAGUCCAGAAUAGAGUCUAGAAAUGGACACAAAUUAAAUGAGAGUUUGAAAUAUGAUAAAGGUAGCAGUUGAAAUUAGUAGAGAGAUGAUGAUGUACUCAAAUAAAUAGUGUUGGACAACUGGACAAAUAUAUGGGAAACCAAAUUGGAUUUAAUUACUCUGUCAAAAUCCCGAUAAAGCAAGGAUUUAAAUGUAAAAAAUGAAAUAAAAAAUGAUAGAAGAAAACAUGGAAGAAUUUAUUAAAACAAUUUCAGGAUGAGAGGUUAUUUCAGAAUUUAAGAUAAGGACCUCAAACCAUAAAAGACUGACACAGCUGACUAUGUGAAAUUAAAAAAAUUCUGCCACCAGAAAAAUAUUAUAGAAAAAGCCAAAACACCUAAGGAAAAUGAGGAUAAAAUAUUUUCAAUGAAUAUGACAAAGCAAGUUUCUACAAAUCAGUAAGACAAGGUAUUUUACAAAGUCCAAAGGGUAUGAAGAAAUAGUUCACAAGAAAGAAAAACAAAUGAUUUUAAGCAUUUGGAAAGAUAAAAACCUCAUUUCCAACAAAAGAAAUGUAAAUUAAAGCUCCAGUGUACCAUUUCUCAUCUAUGAAAUGAAUGAAGAUAAAAACCUGAGUAUACACUUGGUAAGGGUGGGGGAAGAAAGUGCAUUUGUGCAGUCAAAGUGAUGUAAAUGGUACAGCCCUUAUUUGGCAGUAUCUAUCACAACAUAAAUGAACAUUUUAAUCCUGCUGGAAAUGGGGGGAAAGGGAGGAUCUCUUAAAGUAAAUCCACUGAAAACGGAGACCAAAAUUUUACAAUAGAGAUAUUUGAUUGGGAAGUUAAUUUGAAAAAUAACAGUAGUUAAAAUAUUAUUUUAUCUCAUAUGCAAUAACAGUUGUUAGAGUUACAAUUAUGUACACGUUUUAGAAAAAAACAAAUCCAGAGGGGAUUUUGGUUUGUCUUUUGUAAAGCAUUAUAUGGUAACAUCUGAGGGCAUCUUUUAUACUUGGCAGAGGAUGUUGGCAGCACUUCCACAGAGAGGAUCAUUUUUUGUAGAAGUAUGGCAUGGUUUCACUGCUUGACCAAGAGGCCACCUGCAUCAAUUAUCAUCUCCCCUGCUGUCCUCUGAAAUGCUUAUCUAGGCAUCGAUCUUGGUUUCCUCUUCAACUGAUUAACUAACUGGUCUACUCUGCCCAGUCUCUAUUUGAGAAAUCAUUUGACAUCAUUUUCUUUAACUUGAUGAAAUCUCCUAUUUUGACAAGAUUUACAGUUCCUCUUUAUAAGUUCCUCUUUACUUUGUGUGUGCUUUAUAUUGUCUUUGGUUGACAAGAGACAGCCAAAGAGGUCAGUCAGCAGAGAUACAAGUAGGGAUAAGAUGGAUAGGGAGAAACAACAGUGUUCAAUAGGGAGGGAUGUUUCAGGGAAACUAAUUUCAUAAGUGGUCAUUUCAGUAGUGAAUAUAUUUGAAUGGUUAAUGGCUGCUGUUUUUUAGCUGCCCUACAUAUCCAUCAACAGAGGAUCUGUUCCAUAAAUCAUGGCACAAUGAAACUCUGCAGCUGUUAAUGAAAAGGAGAUUUGCUAGAUGUCUUAAUACAGAUCCAUCUCCAGAACAUACCAGUGUCUUCCUUUUAAGUGGUGCACACUGGGGCUGAACACUUACUAAGAAAUGAAAGGGCUCCCCAGUCAAAGCUGACAGGUGUCAUUACAACAUGACCCCUGUGGUAGAUCCCAGCACAAUACACUGGCCAUCACUCCAUUCUCUUCAAAUGUCCUAGGGUUGCUUCAUACAGCAGACCAUCGUACCCAAAGCCACUAUGCAUAUGACUUGGUUAUCUCCUGCCAGGCUGUAGUCCAGUUAGUGCUCCCUUGGAAAUACUCAAGACCUUAAUGAACUAUCUAUCUGUGAAUCUGUGAAGCUACCCAUUUCUUAGAGGCCUCUUUGGAGAGCUGGCUGUUGAAUACCCAGUAUGAUGGUCCUUAGCCUUCUUAGACCUUUCCUGUACCACUACCUCUAUGCCUUUUGCCAAGUCCAAGUGUUCACCAGAAAUGGAACUGAUGCCAGAAAGACUACAGCUAACAAUCUGAGCAGAACAGUGAGCAUGUCCUAUCUGGGAAAAGCCCAGCCCAUUGGGCUAAAUCUCUAGCUGAACACAGAGACUAUGCUCCUUCCAAUUAUACUGGAAGCCCAACCAUGAGAAAACAGCACUUCAACUACACUGUUCAGAGCCAUCACCUGUUCACACGUGUGUCUGUAUACAUGUAAACACACAUUUUGCAAUAAAAAUGCUUCUCAGAUGUACUGCACCAUAAUAAAUCAGCAUUGUAUGUACAGCUCAAAAAGAAGUAUGGCAUACCUAUGGAAGAAGUCAAAGGCAAAGUGUAGAAAAAUACAUACAGUAUGCUACCAUUUGUAUAAAAAGGAGCCGUAUCUACUAAGUACAUGCACACACAGACACACGUAUAUUUGUUUAUAUAAAAUACGUCUGGAAAGAUGCAAUAGGAAAGUGUUGAGUGGUAACCUUUAGGGAAGGAAACUUGGGAAUUAGGGUUGGGUGGGGAGAGUGUUAUUUUUCACCCCUUUUGUACUCUGAAUUGGUUUUACCAUGUGUGUAAAGACUGUUGUAUGAUUUUUGUAGCACAACCCUUGAAUACAUAAAGCACGAUUGGCUCCCCAGAAGGCAGGUGUUGGCCAGGCAGUGGAUGCACGGUAGGGCAGUGUGCAGCCCUGCAUGCACGUGGCUGGUAUGCCCUGCGGGCAGCAGCUCCCCGCACACAGUGCUGUGAGUCUCUGGUUCAUGUCACUCUGUGGAGCAGGGGCUGCUCCAGCACAAAGAGGUUUUUGACAGGGAAAGGCAGAGCCAGAGUCAGGGCAGGCCCUGGGCGGGCUCCUAGAGAGCCCAACCACCCUCUAAUAAGGGGUGCUCUCCACCCUAUCUGAGGAGCAAUUGGGAUCUCCUAGGAAGUGAAACUGUUACGUAUGUCUUAUUACAGAAUUUCCAGUGGAGUGAUUCUGGAAGAAAUGUGUAUGGCAUGUUGUGACUGCUAUGUCUCAUGAAAUAUUUACGUUUUUAUGUAACUUUUUUCCAUUUUCAGAUCAUCUUUUAUUUUAACGCAAAAUGACAAUAUAUUUUUCAAUUAAUUUGCCCAAUAUCUGUGUUUAAAUGUUUUCUAAUGCACACACGUGUUUUAAACUCAUUAAAAAAAUAUGACUUAGA